UGCCACUUUUAUCUUUUCUUCGACUCCAUCAUCCAGGUCGAGGGAAUAAACUAGGUGGCUAUAUUGACUCUACCGCACUCGUUUUCGAGACUUGUGCGGGCGAGUUUCAGAGCGUGUUGCUCUUGUUCCACAAGCAAUGUGUUUUGAAGGCUUGCAACAUUU
Molecule: small nucleolar RNA, 162 nt
Filed under: Cryptococcus depauperatus CBS 7841
Lineage: Eukaryota; Fungi; Basidiomycota; Tremellomycetes; Tremellales; Cryptococcaceae
Source: RNAcentral